RNAcentral lists this ribosomal RNA (253 nucleotides) under uncultured bacterium. RNAcentral describes it as "partial 16S ribosomal RNA". It matches the Rfam family "Bacterial small subunit ribosomal RNA", at positions 524 to 776 of the family's 1533-position model. The record is from RNAcentral.
UACGGAGGGAGCUAGCGUUAUUCGGAAUUACUGGGCGUAAAGCGCACGUAGGCGGCUUUGUAAGUUAGAGGUGAAAGCCUGGAGCUCAACUCCAGAAUUGCCUUUGAGACUGCAUCGCUUGAAUCCAGGAGAGGUGAGUGGAAUUCCGAGUGUAGAGGUGAAAUUCGUAGAUAUUCGGAAGAACACCAGUGGCGAAGGCGGCUCACUGGACUGGUAUUGACGCUGAGGUGCGAAAGCGUGGGGAGCAAACAGG